RNAcentral lists this ribosomal RNA (240 nucleotides) under uncultured bacterium. RNAcentral describes it as "partial 16S ribosomal RNA". It matches the Rfam family "Bacterial small subunit ribosomal RNA", at positions 99 to 334 of the family's 1533-position model. The record is from RNAcentral.
CGAACGGGUGAGUAACACGUGGGUUACGUGCCCCGAUGAUUGGGACAACCCGAGGAAACUCGGGCUAAUACCAAAUGUGCUCCUGGUUGUAAUGACCUUGAGGAAAGGAAGCUUCGGCCUCCGCAUCGGGAUCGGCCCGCGGCCCAUUAGCUAGUUGGUGGGGUAAUGGCCUACCAAGGCGACGAUGGGUAGCUGGUCUGAGAGGACGAUCAGCCACACUGGGACUGAGACACGGCCCAG